This 327-nucleotide ribosomal RNA is filed under the name uncultured eukaryote. Its description in RNAcentral is "partial 18S ribosomal RNA". It matches the Rfam family "Eukaryotic small subunit ribosomal RNA", at positions 1470 to 1796 of the family's 1831-position model. The record is from RNAcentral.
CCCCUAGAUGUUCUGGGCCGCACGCGCGCUACACUGAACAGUUCAACAAGUCUUAACCUUGGCCGAUAGGUCUGGGUAAUCUUUGAACGCUGUUCGUGAUUGGGAUAGACCUUUGCAAUUAUGGGUCUUCAACGAGGAAUUCCUAGUAAACGCAAGUCAUCAGCUUGCAUUGAUUACGUCCCUGCCCUUUGUACACACCGCCCGUCGCUCCUACCGAUUGAAUGGUCCGGUGAAGCGCUCGGACCGCGGCCUCUUGACGGUUUUCCGUCGAUUGGCUGUGGGAAGUUCGUUAAACCUUAUCAUUUAGAGGAAGGAGAANUCGUANCA